This 294-nucleotide ribosomal RNA is filed under the name Triticum aestivum (bread wheat). RNAcentral describes it as "partial small subunit ribosomal RNA". The record is from RNAcentral. Lineage: Eukaryota; Viridiplantae; Streptophyta; Magnoliopsida; Poales; Poaceae.
AUGUCGGUGUCGCUCACGCUCCUCCUUGCGUACUUCAUCGACUGCUCAAAGUGAGGCGCCUUUAUCUCAGCCACCUCCUCCUCUUCCUGCCCGCCGUCCACCUCCAUGGUGUCUUUCCCCAUCCUCUGCCUCUCCAUGUCCUUUUCAAUGUCUUCUCUGAUGGCGUACUUGCACGCCCUCUGGCAGAUCUCCAUGAUGUCUGCACCGCUAAAGCCGGCGGUGAACCUUGCGAGAGCACCGAGGUCCACGUCCUUGACCAUGGGAGACUUCCUGAGGCAGGCCUUGAAGAUCUAG